Molecule: long non-coding RNA, 4996 nt
Filed under: Brassica rapa (field mustard)
Lineage: Eukaryota; Viridiplantae; Streptophyta; Magnoliopsida; Brassicales; Brassicaceae
Description: long non-coding RNA (BRAP_LNC007397)
Source: RNAcentral
AGCCAAAGCUCUGUUUUUAUAAAUCAAUAAUAAUGUGUCCCUCUUACAAAGCCAAGAGAUGACUAUAUAUAGCUAAUGUAAAGUCCUAAGUCUUUAGGGUUUAAGACCUAACAUAAAAAGGAAAACUAACGUUUAUCUUAAGGUUAAAACGGAAAAGGAAAAGAAAGCCAAAACCGAAAAGGAAAGUAAGAUCCACGCUGCAUCAGGUCACCCGGGGUGAGGAAAGAUCCGACCUCGGAUCUUCAGGGUCGUCUUGAGCAACAAAUGGGAUGAGAUGUUUAACGUUAAAAACGUCAGAGAACCUUGCGUCCGGGGGCAAUAGAAGACGAUAAGCAUUAGCAUUAAUCUUCUCGACUACUUCCAAAGGACCUAUCUUCCGUGAUUUCAACUUGUUAUACUCUCCAGCCGCAAAACGCUCACGCGUGAGGACUGCCCACACACGAUCUCCAACCUUGAACUGCACAUCUCGUUUAUGGCGAUCAGCACUGGCUUUAUAUUUUGCCGAAGAGAGCUGUAGAUUUUCGUGGACUUGAGCAUGUAUAGACGAUACAGUAGCCACAAAAUCCAAAGCUUGACCAUGAUCCCGGGACAUAUCCGGAGCCACGCCUAGAGCCAGGGGACCACGCGGAAUGACACCAUAUACGACGCGGAAAGGACUGAAACGUGUACUCUUGUUGAUAGCAUGGUUGUGCGCGAAUUCGACCUGGCAUAAGACUGAAUCCCAAGUCCUUAUGUUGUCGACGACCAGACAACGAAGCAUAUCUCCCAACGUUCGGUUAGUGACCUCUGUCUGACCAUCAGAUUGUGGGUGAUAGGCAGAGCUCAUAUCAAGGCUUGUACGAAGAAGUCGCCAAAGGGAACGCCAAAAAUGACUUAGAAACCGAGAGUCCCUGUCCGACACAAUUGACAAUGGCAAACCAUGAAGUCGAUAGAUCUCUCGGAAGAAGAGCCCAGCCACUUGCACUGCAUCAGUAGUCUUUUUACAAGGAAUAAAAUGAGCCAUCUUUGAAAAACGAUCAACCACCACAAAGAUAGAAUCAUGACCACGUUGAGUGCGAGGAAGACCCAAAACGAAAUCCAUACUAACAUCAGUCCACGGCUGAGUUGGGAUAGGAAGUGGUAAGUAUAGACCAGAGUUAGAUGCAUGACCUUUAGAUCGCUGACAAAUAACACAACGAGCCACAAAGCGAUAGACGUCCCUGCGUAGCGACGGCCAAAAAUAUGCAUCAACAACCAACUGUAGUGUUCGAUCCCGACCGACGUGCCCUUCCUCAUGCAACUCCUUGAUGAUCUUAAGUCGUAAACUGCUCUCCGGAAUGCACAAACAAUUUCCCCUAAACAGAAAGCCAUCUUGUAAAACAUACUCGGAGUGAAUACCAUCUUGUAAAGUCAACCAAAUAGGACCAAAAUAUGGGUCCGAUGCAUACAAAUCCGGCAAGAUAGCAAAGCCCGGCACCGAAACCUGUAACGUUGCCACCAAGGAAUGCCUGCGGCUUAACGCGUCCGCGACCUUAUUGGACUUGCCCGCCAUGUGUUUUAUCACAAACGUGAAUUGCUGAAGGAACGCUAUCCAUGAGGCAUGACGUGAAGAAAUUUUAUCUUGACUCCCCAAGUGCUUGAGGGCAUCAUGAUCAGUAUAAAGAAUGAAUUCUUGAUGGAAAAGAUAAUGUCUCCAAUGCUUAAUGGCCUGGACAAUAGCAUAAAAUUCCACGUCGUAUGUACUAUAACGAGCGCGGGAGCCUGCUAUCUUCUCGCUAAAGAAAGCAAUGGGGCGUCCUAACUGGCUAAGGACUGCACCAAUCCCGAACUUGCACGCAUCACAGUGUAGUUCGAACACUUGAGUGAAGUCUGGCAAGGCCAAUAUCUGAGCAGAGACAAGUCGUUGCUUAAGAUCCUCAAAGGCUUUAUUAGCCUCUGUCGUCCAAACAAACGAAGAGCCUUUCAUACAAUCCGUAAGAGGCGCUGCAAUAUUGCUAAAGUGGUGUACGAAUCGUCUAUAGAAUGAAACGAGACCGUGAAAACUUCUUAUCUCCGUGAUAGAACGAGGCGUAGGCCAAGAUUGAAUAGCUUCCACCUUGGUAGGGUCGACUUGUAAACCUUUGUCGGAAACGAUAUAGCCCAAGAAGAGUACGUGAUCCACCCCAAAAACACAUUUGUGAACCGCGGCAUAGAGCUUCUCACGUCGUAGAACUUCGAGGACGCUUCGUAAGUGCGAUAAGUGGCUUGACAAAUCUUUGCUAAAGAUCAAGAUGUCGUCAAAGUAAACGACCACAUACUUGCCAAUGAAAGGGCGAAGCGCCUGAUUCAUGACUCUCAUAAACGUGCUUGGUGCAUUAGAGAGUCCAAAAGGCAUGACUGUCCACUCAAAAAGACCCUCCCGCGUUUUGAAAGCGGUCUUCCAUUCAUCACCUGGACGUAUACGAAUCUGAUGAUAGCCACUCUUUAAGUCUAGUUUAGUGAACAUUGUGGCCUGCCCGAUCUGAUCAAGUAGAUCAUCUAACCGAGGAAUCGGAAAUCUAUAACGAACUGUGAUUUUGUUGAUUGCACGACUAUCAACACACAUUCUCCACGAUCCAUCUUUCUUGGGAAUGAGCAAGGCGGGUACAGCAGCAGGGCUGAGACUUUCACGAACAUGGCCCUUCUGAAGGAGUUCUUCAACUUGACGGCGGAGCUCGUCAUGUUCUUGUGGGCUCAUUCGAUAAUGAGGUCUGUUGGGAAGAACUGCAUUAGGGACCAAAUCAAUAUGAUGCUGGAUAUCCCUUAAUGGUGGUAAAUCGCUUGGAAGCUCAGCUGGAAAGACGUCGCUGAAUUCCUGGAGCAACGGGACGAACGAGUCAGAUGUCUUGCUAGCUACCGGUGGUGUUGUUGGUGUAGCGACUAGAGCCCAAAGAAUAUCCACGUCAUGCAACUGCUUCUCGAAGUCGUUUUUGGGAAGAGUCAAAAGUGAUUUUGCUGAAGGUGAAACAACUUUGUUUGCAGCAUCCGUAGUACAAGGGUUUGCUUCAGGCUGUUCCUUAGACGGAACAAGAGUAACCGUGCGGUUAUCAAAAACGAAACUGUAAGUAUUAGCCUUACCACGAUGAAUUGCGUCACGAUCAUAUUGCCAAGGUCGUCCUAAUAACAAGUGACAAGCAUCCAUGGGAAUAACAUCGCAAGUCACCGAGUCUUUGUAAUUGCCGAUGGAAAAAGAGACUUGAACUUGCUUUGAGACGUUAAUCUCGGUACCGUUGUUAAGCCAGGCAAGCGGGUAAGGAGAAGGGUGGGGUGUAACGGUGAGACCAAGUUUCUGAGAUGCCGCAUAAGACAUAACAUUAGUGCAGCUUCCCGAAUCUAUGAUGAGUUUGCAGAUUCGACCGUUGAUGGUGCAGGUCGAACGAAACAAGUUCGUGCGAAGCCAUGAUUCUUGUGACGCUUUAGGUAGUAGGCAGUUCCUGCGGAGGACGAGGUUGAGACCUGUGUCGCCUUGAAUAAUCUCAGGGUCAUCAUCGUCCGUAGCAUCAUAAUCAUCAUAACGGGGUUCGGCUUCCUCUGUUUCUUGGAUAAUCAAACCGCGUUUUGCCUUUUGAGGACAAGCAGUCUGAAUGUGGCCGCGUUCUCCACAUGUGUAACAACGUAGAGCGUUGGUACGAGGUGGUCUGGAUGAAGCAAUAGUGUCAGUGUUGAGGCCUGUUUUGCUCGUAUCGGACCGCUGUGUUGCUCCUUCCGUAGCAGGUGUUGUAUUCUCGGUUGCAGGGGUAGUUUGGGGGCGGGAACGUGACGAGGACGACCAAGACGAUCGCUGCUGUAACUCCAUAGAGAGUGAGCGUUGAUAAGCCUCGGAAACUGUCACUGGAUUGAACUGUGCCAAAGCAAGCUGGAGUUGAGAACGUAAUCCUCCGAUGAAACGUGAGAUUAGUUGUUUCUCAGUUUCGCCUGCAGUCAUCCGUGCUGUCAUAUAGAAGAACUCAGUUGCAUAUUCUUCAACAGUACGCGAACCCUGACGCAGAGUUUGCAAUUUGUUAUAGAGCGUACGCUCGUAAUUGUAGGGUAGGAAGGCGCGACGCAUGUGUUUGGUCAAUCCAUUCCAUGAAUUAAUGCGUGGUUUAUUGUCUUGACGACGAGACUCUUUGAGCUGUUGCCACCAAGCCAUAGCCCUUCCUUUGAAGCGGGUAACGACAAGAGGAACUCGCAUAUCAUCGGGCACUUGUCGAAACUCAAGUAUCUCUUCUGCCGUGUUUAACCAAUCGAUGAAAUCCUCAGGAUUUAACGUUCCCAGAAACUCAGGAAUCUCUGAACGGAAACUAGUUUCCCAUCGAGGUUGAUUAACUCGCUGGUCCUGGUCUUCACGCCGGUAUUGAGGUGGUCGCUGAGCAUCGCGUCGUUGAUAUUGGUCGUCUCGGUGGUCAGCAAAAACAUUGUCGACGAGCUCUUCAUCGUCUGAUGCGUCAAGGUGAGCACCGCGAUGGCGAGGCCGCAGACCCUGCUGAUUAUCUGGAGCAUCGCGUUGAGCGCGUUGAUCCUGAAGAACGGUGGUGAGGGCGUUUUGGACAGCUGUUUGUAAUGCUCCCGUAAGGUUUGUGGUUAAUGCUUCGAACAUAAGGCGUACUUCCUCCUGUUGUUCUUCCGUGAUAGUCUUGCGUGGUGCCAUGAUCGAUUUGUUUGAUUAAGAAAUCAAACGCCUGGAUUCUGAUACCAACUGAUAGAGUAACCGAUAGAAUAGGAACGAUUGUUUAGUCUGAGAAUCCCCAAAAGUACCUAUGAACUUGAAUCCGUUGAGUUCAACCAAUGAACUAGCCGUAAUCAAGAGUUUAAAGCCAAAGCUCUGUUUUUAUAAAUCAAUAAUAAUGUGUCCCUCUUACAAAGCCAAGAGAUGACUAUAUAUAGCUAAUGUAAAGUCCUAAGUCUUUAGGGUUUAAGACCUAACAUAAAAAGGAAAACUAACGUUUAUCUUAAGGUUAAAACGGAAAAGGAAAAGAAAGCCAAAACCGAAAAGGAAAGUAAGAUCCACGCUGCAUCA